UACAAGAGUUAUAUCACUUAAUUGUAAUGUGAUAAACCAAACUUUAGAUUUAUCAAUUAUGGAUAGAUCUUACAUGUAGGACAUAAAAGGAUACAAUGAAUCUUUAGAUUUGGUUCCAUUUGUCCACUUAUGAGUUCUAUAUGAAUUGACAAAAGUCUAGAGAAUCCUUUCUUGAAGAAAAGGAAGAUCACAUUACAAUGAUAUAAGUAAUAAGAAAAACGUUUCUUAUAUGGUUAUCACUUGAAACACAAUGAUCAAGAUUACUCUUGAUUCAAUUAGUAGUUUUGAACAAUUAAUUGGGCAUUCUUAAAAUUGUUUUAAAAUGUCAAUGGUGUUAGUGAUUAAACCAAGAAAGAAGUGUCUAAAUCUAUAAAAGGUUUAAAGAAUUUAGUCACUUAAAUAACAAGACAUUAAACUUAGUGAAGAUUGAAACAAAUAAGCUUGAAAUGUUUCAAAGCUACUACACAAUGUCUUCUACCAAUAUAAUCCAAUUUUAUACAUUUUGAAUGUAUGAAAUGAUUUCUCAUUAAAGUCAUGAAAAAUAGUGGGAGGCGUGAAAAUGGAUAUAAACUUGAAUGUGAUUGGUUUAUAGUUGUCUAAAGAAUAAUAGUACUUGACUAUUAUUAAGAGUUUAUAAUUUUAAUUGUUAAAAGGACUCAAGCUCUUCAAACGUUAAAAUUCUAUGUUGUGAAACAUUUAAAGAAUAGUCUUUGAAUGUUGGUUUCGUCAACCUAGCAUAAAAUGAUUAUAUGUUGGGAGUUGUCCAUCAUUCUCUUUUAUGAGAACAUGCUAAUGACAAAGCAUAUGGACAAGUUGAUGAAACAAAAGGGAAUAAGUUUCAAAAUGAGUCACAACAUAUGGUUUAACAACAAGACAAUCCAAAUUCAACAUCUCAUGUAACGAUAUUGCUCUAUGUAGUUUUGAUAGAGAAUUAUAUCAACCACCUAGAAGGAAUGGUUGAGUAUCUAUAUCCUUAGUAGGAGCCAUACUUCCACUAAGGAAUUAGAUAAUUCUUAUAUGACUACAUUAAAGGUCUUAGUAUGACUAAAACUUUUAGUAUGGUGUAUGACAUCGUAUAAUUAAAUGAAUAGACUUGAUAAAACAAGUCACAUAUUCAAAAGGAAUUACUUUAGAAGGAAUUCUUUUGUAUGUGAUUCAUUUAAAAUAACUUGUGUUAGCUAGGGUUGUUGAUGGUCUCAAAAUUGUUGAGAACAUCAUCAAUAAGCUAAUGGAUCUCAAUAAUUCUCAAUGGAUCCAAGACAAGUUAGUGGGAGCAACACGCAUUCAAAUCAAGAAAAUAUAAGUGUUAUUUUUGAAUGAAUGCUAAGUUACAACAAGGCCAGUGGGAGUGAUGUCAUAAUUUGAGCAACAAGGUGUGAAUAAAGUCUAUUUAAUAGACUUGAUGAAACAUAGAUGUUACUCGAAAAUGACAAAACAUGACACAGUCAAUUUUGAAGUAUAGACUUGAAAUUGGACUUACUGAUAUAGCAAGGCUAUCUCAAUAAUGUUAUAUGGGAAUUAAAUCUCAAAUGUUGAAGAUUUAAGAAAGCAUUUUCCUAUGUGAUAGGAAAUCACUUUUAUAACCCUUAUAAUGAAUGUGUCAUAAAAUCACAAAAGGGACACAUGUAUUGACUUGUGAAGUAGAUAUCCAAAGGUGAAGAAACCACUGAGUUUAUCACUUUAAGAUAUUACUAUAUCCCAGGAUCAGAACCAAAGCAACUGAUAGAGUAUUAUUGCCUUUUAAGAAAGAAACAUCAGAGUGGGACUCUGGAAGCGUGCAUUCACUUAGGUUGUUAACCAAAGUGAAAAAUAAGCCAUUUUAACGAAUGGAACUUCAUGUUGGAUGAAGUACUAAUCAUAUGAAUGAAUUGUUAGUAUUGUACUACAAUGGUCUCAAGAUUGAAGCAAAGUUUGUAUAAAGUAUACAAACGAAAUAUAUGUAGAUAUAUAUGUUUUAGAAACUGCUUCAAAAGGUGUUUUGAAUGAAAGGGGUUCUUUUAAGAACCCAUGAUUGAAUCCAAACCAUAAGGUCGUUAGUAGAGUACUACGACGUAAUGGGGCGAUAGCUCAAGCCAUGGAAUCAAGGUCUCAUCAAAGUAUUCGAACACAUUAAAGAGACAUCAUCAAAUGUCUUGGAAACAUUUGAUAAGUAAAUCCCUUUUAAUAAAAGAGAUUAAUACAUAACCAAGCUAACCUACGAGCAUAAACUCUCUCGACAAGAUGUAUGAGAUACACUAGUGAUUGACUUUAGUGCAAGUGGGAGAUUGUUGGAAAUAUGCCCUGAAAGUCAAUCUUUGG
Molecule: long non-coding RNA, 2298 nt
Filed under: Malus domestica (apple)
Lineage: Eukaryota; Viridiplantae; Streptophyta; Magnoliopsida; Rosales; Rosaceae
Description: long non-coding RNA (MDOM_LNC019825)
Source: RNAcentral